Capsicum annuum is the source of this 106-nucleotide non-coding RNA. NCBI's taxonomy places the organism in Eukaryota, Viridiplantae, Streptophyta, Magnoliopsida, Solanales, Solanaceae. The record is from Rfam.
ACCUCAUGAUUUGGGCAUUGCAUUAUUUUAUCAUUGAAUCACUCCCACACCUAAUACAAUGGUUUGCCACUAAUUUGAAAAAUAUUAGUGAUCACAUCCCUUAGUU